This is a long non-coding RNA of Helianthus annuus (common sunflower), 356 nucleotides long. RefSeq lists it as uncharacterized. The transcript has 3 exons. NCBI's taxonomy places the organism in Eukaryota, Viridiplantae, Streptophyta, Magnoliopsida, Asterales, Asteraceae. The record is from RefSeq and is a predicted model, not a curated record.
UGUGGGUCGAUCAGAGAAGAAGAAAACAGGGCAAACCCCUCACUGAUCUAGAUCUCCAAAUUCAAGGGCAAUUCGAGCCUAAAAUUAGUGCAUGAAUGCAUAUAAAUGAUCACCUAAACUAGGGAUCACAAGGCAAUUUGGGUGAAGCAUCAAGUGGUCAAGCCGGGCGGACACGCGUUUAAAAGGAAAGCUUUAAGGUGGUUGUUAUGAAGUCACGGAUGAUGAUCAAGCAUAGUGAAUGUUUUGGUCAAAAAUCACACAAGGAUAAUGUAACCAAGUCUGAUUUUUGUGAGGUUAGAUGCUUGGUUAAUUGAACAAAUGUGUGAACAAUAAUUGAAUGAAAUGAAUGAUCAACA